Molecule: long non-coding RNA, 700 nt
Organism: Hylaeus anthracinus
Lineage: Eukaryota; Metazoa; Arthropoda; Insecta; Hymenoptera; Colletidae
Exons: 4
Source: RefSeq, a predicted model, not a curated record
CCGGCUUAAAACCACACUUUUCGACUUUAACUAUUACGAAUUAAUAUAGUCACUGGAGCAACCAUCUGGAAAGAAGCACCAGUGCUGCCAAUCUACGAAAGACUCGAUGACACAUCUCGAGGGAGUGGAACAACAAGGGAUUUAUCUACAACGAAGCUGCACUUGAAAAAAAGAGAAUUAUGAAGAUUGAUGAAGAUCACCCCGUAAAACAGAGAACCAAUACUGGUCGUUUCCAGAAGUGGAGUUGGAUUCGGUCAGAUUCAGUCGCGUAUAUUUAUCGCAAGAAAAAUUGUUAUUACAAUGGUGAACAAACUAUUGUAGUAUGUAUUGUAAGCCAUUAGUAUUUCGAGUGAAAUGGAUAAAAAUUCAGUGGUGACUCGUCGAUCGUUUACCCGUCUAAUUACAGAAGCAGGACGAUCAACUUGAUCAUUUUCGGGUUUUAUUCUGUUUUAAAUUACGGAAGCAUCAGUGUGGCCGACGGAUAGCAAGUUAUCGUCAUUCCGUGUUUCGCCAAUAGGUGCGCGUCAAUCUACCAUAGUGAGAAUACUUCACACUUUUUUCCUAGAUGGCACGCCAUGUUCUUCGCAGUUUGUCGUUCAGAUUUCUGGAAGCUCACUACCGACGUCUCUAAUUUCCACAUUUGCUGAUAGUUCCAAAAUUAAGAAUGUUAAGUGUCUGUUGGAUUGGUCGACGACUGAUG